CAUGUACCAUCGGCUAUAAACGAAAAUCUGGCUAAGUGCGCUGGUACACAGUUGUGACCAAACCUCAAUCUAUUGAUGGUGGUAAUAAAGCUACGACUUCCCGUCUUAAUCUUCUCAUACCAAGGCUUUCCAGGGCUUCAAAUACAGCAUAUGCUUCAGCCGUAAAUAUGGAACAUACAUCAUACAACCUAAAGCUCUGUACAAAUUUAGUUUGAGGAUUAUACACUGCACUUCGAACAUAAAAAUCUGCUUUACUACCAUCGGUGUAUAAUUUGUAAUUAUCGGGAAUUUGUGACAAGAAAUAUAGAAAAUCAGUAUUAUUAUUGAUAAAUUUUGUGCAUACUGUAAUACUUAAAAGUUUACUAUCAAAGCUAUCUUCAUAACAUGGCCAAAUUUCAUUUUUAUAUAUAUUACAAAACUUAGCUUCCACCUGUAAGAUUAGUGCUGUUAACUUGGGGAUUCUGGGAUGACCCUUUAUUCUUCUAAUUACACUUUGAUUAUUUUUAGCAUAUAUCUUAAUUAAAUAUCUAUAAGCUAACAACAUCCAUCUGACAGGUAAAGGCAUUGUUUUAGUCUCUACUUCCAUUGCUCUUAUUGGGGUUGAACACAUUGCCCCUGAUAUUAUUCGUAUAGCCUUAUUUUGAAUUAUUUCUAAUUUAUGUGUGUGAACAGUAUUCAUAUGUACAAGAAAACUAUAGUCAAAGUGACUUCUGACAAGGGUUUUAUACAGUAAGGACAGUACUUGAGGAUCAGCACCCCAAGAUAUACCGGCAAGACAUCUCAUAACAUUUAAACCUCUAACAGAAUUUGAAAUUUUGUGCUUAGCAUAGCGUAGGUCAAAAUUUAAAUGAUUAUCUAUGACUACACCUAGAAACUUAUGAGAAGGGACUUCUCUAAUAAUCUCAUUAUUAUAUACAAUGUGUAUUAUGUGUACAUUUGUUGUGUCCUUGCUCAAUAUUAGUAACUUGCUUUUGUCAGGAUUUAUCUUUAAGUGUAAGUAAUUAUUGUAAUAAACAUAGAGUUCAUUUAGUGCAUUAUUAAUAUGUGCUUUAGCUACAUCUAAAUUUGAAUUAAUAGAAUAUAUUACAAGAUUAUCUGCAAAUUGCAGUAUAUUAACAUUAGAACUAUUUACAAAUGAGUUAAUAUCACUAGUAUACAAAUUAUACAGAAGAGGAGACAGCGUUGCCCCUUGCAUUGUGCCUUUGAAAACUUGUCGUGGUCCAUGUAGCAUGUUAUUAAAUUUUACAUAUAGCUCUCUAUUGUCCAAAAAAUUAAAUAUCCACUUGCAUAGUUUCCCAGGGAUAUUAAAAUUAGAUAGAAUUUUUACAAGUAUUGCGGGAUCAACAUUGUCAAAUGCUCCUUGUACAUCUAAAAAUAUACAAACAGCAUGUGACUUGUUAUAGUUAGCUAAUUUUAAAUCCGAUAUAAGAGAUAUGAAGCUGUCAGAACAGCUUCUACCUCGUCGAAAGCCAUUUUGAAAUGGAGGCAAUAUGUUAUUUGCCUCAACAUACCAAUCGAGUCUAGUUUUUAUCAUAUUCUCAAUAACUUUACCAAUACAUGAUGAUAGAGAAAUCGGUCUAUAAGAAUUGACCUCAUUAGGAGGUUUGUCUGGUUUUAAAAUAGGUAUUACACAUUGUGUUUUCCAUGAUAGAGGUAUUUUCUCUUGUAACCAAAGUAAAUUCAUAAUUCUGAGCAAAACUUUUUGACCAUUAACAUGCAUACAUACAUACAUACAUAUAAUCACGCCUAUUUCCCGAACGGGUAGGCAGAGACCACGGAUUUCCACUUGCUACGAUCCUGACAUACCUCUUUCGCUUCCUUCACUUUCAUGACAUUCCUCAUACACGCUCGCCGGUUUAGGGUGCUCUUGACCUGGCCUUUCUUUAGGAUUUCCCCGAUUUGAUCAGAGAAAGUCCGCCGAGGUCUACCCCUUCCAGCUCCCUCUUCUACUUCUCCCUUAUACACUCUCUUUGUUAACCUUCUUUCACUCAUUCUUUCCACGUGUCCAAACCAUCUCAACAUACCUUUCUCAAUUUUUGUCACUACAUCUUCGUUCAGUCCAGCAUUAACAUGCAGUUUCUUUAAAAGCAAGUAUGGUAUAUCAUCUAAUCCUGGGGUAGUAUUGAAGAAUGUUUUAAGUUUCCAAAGGCAACAUUCGAUAUAAUUUUCAUACAAUUUAAAUAUACGAUACACAAAUAAUCGUAAAUAACGAUACAUAGGUAAUAAUAGUAUUUACAAUUGUUUCUGUCUUAUAGAACAUGCAUAAAAAAGUACUUGUUAUUGUUUCGCAACUGUAUUAAAAAACGUCAUUCGAUACACGUGCCGAAAUGUACUAUUUCCUACGUACCUUUGAAUUUGGUAAGUACUUUAACACUUUUCAGUAAAUAGGUACAUAGACAGAUAGAUAGAUAGAAUACUCUUUAGUUACGUUUGAUGUAUUUAUAACAUUAUCAUUAGUAGUAGAUACCAGUAUGGAUGACUACUUACUUACCUAUAAGUGUUGGAUAUGUACAGUUGUGUGCAAUAUAAUAGCACAGUUACACUCUGCGACGAAGAUCGUCUUAUAGAAAAGUUUAUUUUUUUCUGGAUGACUUGGGUUUAGAUGUAAAGCUUUGAUUGGAAAUAAUAGGAAAGAUUCUAAAUUACAAUUAUAGUACACAAUUGUAUUUUUUUCGUAUGGUUUUACUUUUCCGCAACUUAGUAAAAACAGCCGAUUUUCAUGAUAUUUUUUUUUUACUUCCAAUAUCAUUUAAGUAAAGGUUACAGUUAAUUUUGAAACAAUAUCAAGUAAUGCAGAAUAAUUAUAUAAAAAGAUACAAUAUCAUUAAUCUAAAGUUAUAGUUUUCCCUUAAUUUACAUUUUCUUAUGUACUGCUAUUAUAUUGCACACAACUGUACCUACACAUAAACUAUAAGUAGGUACGUUACGUCCGUUAGAGGAAGUCCUUCAACAAAAUAAACCAGCUUUUGAAGUAGACCGCGAGCCAGGAGCAUAUAUCGUCAGUCAUCGCCUGCCGGCUGAUACUUUGUCUUAGAUGCUAUUAUGAAUU
Long non-coding RNA from Cydia pomonella (codling moth), 3049 nucleotides. RefSeq lists it as uncharacterized. The transcript has 2 exons. The record is from RefSeq and is a predicted model, not a curated record. Lineage: Eukaryota; Metazoa; Arthropoda; Insecta; Lepidoptera; Tortricidae.